CUGACCCCACGACAGUGUCUAGGGGUGAAUGUUUACAGCUGAAGCCCCAGUGGGCGUGCAUUACAGGAUGCUCUUUUAGUUUAGCCAUCUGCUCAAUUAGACCCCUGCCUUAUCACAAGGACAGAAGGCUGUCUGCAACCCGGGGUUCUUGCCCUGGUGUACCGGAAGACUCAGAUCACAUGUGGGCUUGGAGAAUGAGUGCAAGGUUUUAUUGAGCGGAAGUACCUCUCAGCAGAUGGGGGAGCCAGAAGGGAGAUGGUUUUCUCUUGGAGUUGGGCCGCUUGGUGGCCCGGGCUCUCCUCCAACUGCCCCAGCCAAACUCCACAUGGUUCUGUGGCUGCUGGUCAGUGGCCUGCUGGCGUGAAGGCAUGUCGCUGAUCCAGAAGUCAAUAUUCUCCUCACUAUAUUCAGACUUCAAGAAAGCUUUGAAAGCUGCCAGCCCACCUAUGAUACAGGAGAAAGGACCACAGUUGUCAUCACACUGGUUGGCCUCUUGGAUAUGCUAUUUCACAUAAAGCUGAGGUACUUGGGGGAUAAAGCAUGGAUUCAAGCAAUCCCUUUUUCCCCUGCUUUUUUCAAGUCACCUGGAGUCAGGUAACCCUAAUCUGUGUUUGAUAUCCAGUGGUUCCCAGUUCUACCUAAUGAUUCUUACUCAAGUUGGAAGCCUCUUUCAAGGAAGUAUUUUGCUUCUGAAAUGCCUAUGCAGCUAUCAAUUACCAAGGUCAAUUUGGGAAAGAGAAACUGAGAUUGAUUUUGCAAGAAGGUAUUGAUAUUUAUCAUUUUUUUUCUCUCUUCCGUUUUUCCUUGUGAUGAGAGAGAUGGUUUUCCACAUGGUUCCUGCAUAAACUUUUCAUUGUAUAUCACAAAGCUCUAGGGCAUAUUAAAAUUUUAAACAGACUGAAUUUAAGACCUAAAGAGUCUCCUGAGUCUGAACAUCAGAAAGAAGCCAGGCCUUGCUGCAGUUUCUAUUAGACCAGCAUAAUAUAACUUGUCUUAUCCAGAGUACCUCAUCCCAGGUUGCUGUCAGACUUACAUUCAUGACUAAUCAGGUUUUCCAGUGAUUCAGCCCAUUUCUUG
RNAcentral lists this long non-coding RNA (1077 nucleotides) under Homo sapiens (human). RNAcentral's name for it is "HSALNT0016678". Lineage: Eukaryota; Metazoa; Chordata; Mammalia; Primates; Hominidae. The record is from RNAcentral.